RNAcentral lists this ribosomal RNA (376 nucleotides) under uncultured eukaryote. RNAcentral's name for it is "partial 18S ribosomal RNA". It matches the Rfam family "Eukaryotic small subunit ribosomal RNA", at positions 592 to 976 of the family's 1831-position model. The record is from RNAcentral.
CAAGAGCGUAUAUUAAAGUUGCUGCGGUUAAAAAGCUCGUAGUUGGAUUUCAGUCUAGGAAGGUUAACUCGCCGAAAGGUUGUACGUUGAUUUUCCUCAGACUUCGUCAGAAGCUCGUGCUGCACUUAACUGUGUGGUACGAUGUUCUGACCUUUUACCUUGAGGAAAGUAGAGUGCUUCAGGCAGGCUACCCAGCUUGAAUACAUUAGCAUGGAAUAAUGAAAUGGAUCUCGGUUCGAUUUCGUUGGUUCUAGAGCUGAGGUGAUGAUCAAUAGGAACAGGCGAAGGUAUUCGUACUUGAGAGUGAGGAGUGAAAUCCGAUGAUCUCUUAAAGACGAUCCGAGGCGAAAGCAUUUGUCAAGGAUGUUUUCAUUGA